UAGAAUAACAGUUUCAAAUGCAGUUCUAUGGUUAGGCCAUAGCAUUUCACAUCUGACUUGCUAUCCCGCCUGCGCACUCUUUACGCCCAGUGAUUCCGAGUAACGCUUGCACCCUCCGUAUUACCGCGGCUGCUGGCACGGAGUUAGCCGGUGCUUAUUCGUUAGAUACCGUCAUAAUCUUCUCUAACAAAAGGAGUUUACAAUCCUAAAACCUUCAUCCUCCACGCGGCGUUGCUGCUUCAGGGUUUCCCCCAUUGAGCAAUAUUCCCUACUGCUGCCUCCCGUAGGAGUCUGGACCGUGUCUCAGUUCCAGUGUGUCCGUUCACCCUCUCAGGCCGGAUACCCGUC
This 348-nucleotide ribosomal RNA is filed under the name uncultured Helicobacter sp. RNAcentral describes it as "partial 16S ribosomal RNA". The record is from RNAcentral. Lineage: Bacteria; Pseudomonadati; Campylobacterota; Epsilonproteobacteria; Campylobacterales; Helicobacteraceae.